AGUCGAGCGGCAGCGGGAAAGUAGCUUGCUACUUUUGCCGGCGAGCGGGACGGGUGAGUAAUGCCUGGGAAAUUGCCCAGUCGAGGGGGAUAACAGUUGGAAACGACUGCUAAUACCGCAUACGCCCUACGGGGGAAAGCAGGGGACCUUCGGGCCUUGCGCGAUUGGAUAUGCCCAGGUGGGAUUAGCUAGUUGGUGAGGUAAUGGCUCCCAAGGCGACAUCCCUAGCUGGUCUGAGAGGAUGAUCAGCCCACUGGAA
Molecule: ribosomal RNA, 259 nt
Filed under: uncultured Aeromonas sp.
Lineage: Bacteria; Pseudomonadati; Pseudomonadota; Gammaproteobacteria; Aeromonadales; Aeromonadaceae
Description: partial 16S ribosomal RNA
Rfam family: Bacterial small subunit ribosomal RNA
Source: RNAcentral